RNAcentral lists this ribosomal RNA (502 nucleotides) under uncultured bacterium. RNAcentral's name for it is "partial 16S ribosomal RNA". It matches the Rfam family "Bacterial small subunit ribosomal RNA", at positions 28 to 523 of the family's 1533-position model. The record is from RNAcentral.
GAUGAACGCUAGCGGCAGGCCUAACACAUGCAAGUCGAGGGGCAGCACAGAAACAGCAAUGUUUUGGUGGCGACCGGCGGACGGGUGCGUAACGCGUAUGCAACCUACCUUUAACAGGGGGAUAACGGAGAGAAAUUUCCACUAAUACCCCAUAACAUCGAUCAAGGCAUCUGGAUUGGUUGAAAACUCCGGGGGUUAAAGAUGGGCAUGCGUUGUAUUAGGUGGUUGGUAAGGUAAUGGCUAACCAAGCCUACAAUACAUAGGGGAACUGAGAGGUUAGCCCCCCACCCUGGUACUGAGACACGGACCAGACUCCUACGGGAGGCAGCAGUGAGGAAUAUUGGUCAAUGGGGGCAACCCUGAACCAGCCAUGCCGCGUGCAGGAAGACGGCUCUAUGAGUUGUAAACUGCUUUUAAACAGGGAUAAAGCACAGUAUGUAUACUGUGUUGAAGGUACUGUAAGAAUAAGGAUCAGCUAACUCCGUGCCAGCAGCCGCCGUAA